This 85-nucleotide transfer RNA is filed under the name Trichoglossum hirsutum. It matches the Rfam family "tRNA". Rfam says of the family: Transfer RNA (tRNA) molecules are approximately 80 nucleotides in length. Their secondary structure includes four short double-helical elements and three loops (D, anti-codon, and T loops). Further hydrogen bonds mediate the characteristic L-shaped molecular structure. tRNAs have two regions of fundamental functional importance: the anti-codon, which is responsible for specific mRNA codon recognition, and the 3' end, to which the tRNAs corresponding amino acid is attached (by aminoacyl-tRNA synthetases). tRNAs cope with the degeneracy of the genetic code in two manners: having more than one tRNA (with a specific anti-codon) for a particular amino acid; and 'wobble' base-pairing, i.e. permitting non-standard base-pairing at the 3rd anti-codon position. The record is from Rfam by way of RNAcentral. Lineage: Eukaryota; Fungi; Ascomycota; Geoglossomycetes; Geoglossales; Geoglossaceae.
UCCGUAGUGGUGUAACGGCUAGCAUACUGAGCUUUCAAAGCUCGUAGUUCCCUCAGAGAUCCGGGUUCGAUUCCCGGCUAUGGAA